Molecule: transfer RNA, 72 nt
Filed under: Pseudomonas phage VCM
Lineage: Duplodnaviria; Heunggongvirae; Uroviricota; Caudoviricetes; Vandenendeviridae
Rfam family: tRNA
About the family: Transfer RNA (tRNA) molecules are approximately 80 nucleotides in length.
Source: Rfam by way of RNAcentral
GCGUGUGUCGUAUAACGGCUAUUAUAUCUGGCUUCCACCCAGAGGACUAGGGUUCGAUUCCCUACACCCGCA